AAUAGAUACCCGGGUAGUCCACGCCGUAAACGAUGGAUGCUAGCUGUUUGGAGGUAUCGACCCCUUCAGAAGCGAAGCUAACGCGCUAAGCAUCCCGCCUGAGUAGUACGAGCGCAAGCUUAAAACUCAAAGGAAUAGACGGGGACCCGCACAAGCGGUGGAGCGUGUUCUUUAAUUGGAUGAUAAGCCAAGAACCUUACCCAGGUUUGACAUCCUGCGAAGGACUCCGAAAGGAAUCUGUGCUUUUUGAACGCAGUGACAGGUGUUGCAUGGCCGUCGUCAGCUCGUGUCGUGAGAUGUUGGGUUAAGUCCCGCAACGAGCGCAACCCUUAUAGUUAGUUGGUAUUUUUACUAACUAGACUGCCUCGGUAACGGGGAGGAAGGAGGGGAUGAUGUCAGGUCCGUAUCACCCUUACACCGUGGGGCUAGAAACGCGCUACAAUGGCCGGUACAAUGGGCAGCCAAAUCGCAAGAUGGAGCUAAUCCCACCAAAGCCGGUCUCAGUUCGGAUUGGAGGCUGCAACUCGCCUGCAUGAAGCCGG
RNAcentral lists this ribosomal RNA (542 nucleotides) under uncultured bacterium. Its description in RNAcentral is "bacterial SSU rRNA". It matches the Rfam family "Bacterial small subunit ribosomal RNA", at positions 777 to 1329 of the family's 1533-position model. The record is from RNAcentral.